RNAcentral lists this transfer RNA (75 nucleotides) under Pseudomonadota bacterium. RNAcentral's name for it is "tRNA-His". It matches the Rfam family "tRNA". Rfam says of the family: Transfer RNA (tRNA) molecules are approximately 80 nucleotides in length. Their secondary structure includes four short double-helical elements and three loops (D, anti-codon, and T loops). Lineage: Bacteria; Pseudomonadati; Pseudomonadota. The record is from RNAcentral. RNAcentral also lists the same sequence under 1 other name.
GUGGUAUUAGCUCAGUCGGUUUAGAGCGCGUCUCUGUGGAAGACGAGGUCGCCAGUUCGAAUCUGGUAUACCACC